CGGAACGGGUGAGUAACGCGUGAGGAACCUGCCUCAAAGAGGGGGACAACAGUUGGAAACGACUGCUAAUACCGCAUAAGCCCACGGCUCGGCAUCGAGCAGAGGGAAAGGAGCAAUCCGCUUUGAGAUGGCCUCGCGUCCGAUUAGCUAGUUGGUGAGGUAACGGCCCACCAAGGCGACGAUCGGUAGCCGGACUGGGAGGUUGAACGGCCACAUUGGGACUGAGACACGGCCCAG
This 237-nucleotide ribosomal RNA is filed under the name uncultured bacterium. RNAcentral's name for it is "partial 16S ribosomal RNA". It matches the Rfam family "Bacterial small subunit ribosomal RNA", at positions 100 to 334 of the family's 1533-position model. The record is from RNAcentral.